CUCUGGCACCGACCGGAUCCCUGGCACUGAGCUCGGCCGCGCCCGGGACCCAGCCGGAGCCCUCGGGCCCAUCGUGGGGAGAUUUCAGGUUAAUUGAACAGCGCUGGAACAUAAUUUAAUAUUGAGUGAGUUGUUAAUUAUUUUUUACAUUUAAUUAACAAUGCUUAAACAUAGUGUAUAUUAAUAUAGAGCAUGUUUAGCCGUUAGAAUACAUUUGUAAUAUAAAACCAAAAAUGAAAUAUAGGAUAUAGAUAGUCUAUAUUAUAUUAUAUUAUA
This is a long non-coding RNA of Gopherus flavomarginatus (Mexican gopher tortoise), 276 nucleotides long. RefSeq lists it as uncharacterized. Lineage: Eukaryota; Metazoa; Chordata; Testudines; Testudinidae. The transcript is spliced from 3 exons. The record is from RefSeq and is a predicted model, not a curated record.